UGUCGGAGUGGCGGAAUUGGCAGACGCGCUAGCUUGAGGUGCUAGUGACUUACUAAACGGUCGUGCGGGUUCAAGUCCCGCCUCCGACACCAC
RNAcentral lists this transfer RNA (93 nucleotides) under Lancefieldella rimae ATCC 49626. RNAcentral describes it as "Atopobium rimae ATCC 49626 tRNA-Leu". It matches the Rfam family "tRNA". From Rfam's summary of the family: Transfer RNA (tRNA) molecules are approximately 80 nucleotides in length. The record is from RNAcentral. Lineage: Bacteria; Bacillati; Actinomycetota; Coriobacteriia; Coriobacteriales; Atopobiaceae.